AUACGGAGGGUGCGAGCGUUAAUCGGAAUUACUGGGCGUAAAGCGUACGUAGGCGGUUGGUUAAGUUAGAUGUGAAAGCCCCGGGCUUAACCUGGGAACUGCAUUUAAAACUGGCGAACUAGAGUUGAGUAGAGGGGAGUGGAAUUUCAGGUGUAGCGGUGAAAUGCGUAGAGAUCUGAAGGAACACCAGUAGCGAAGGCGACUCCCUGGACUCGAACUGACGCUGAGGUACGAAAGCGUGGGUAGCAAACGGGAUUAGAUACCCUAGUAGUCC
This 274-nucleotide ribosomal RNA is filed under the name uncultured bacterium. RNAcentral's name for it is "partial 16S ribosomal RNA". It matches the Rfam family "Bacterial small subunit ribosomal RNA", at positions 523 to 796 of the family's 1533-position model. The record is from RNAcentral.